Long non-coding RNA from Triticum aestivum (bread wheat), 1848 nucleotides. RefSeq lists it as uncharacterized. Lineage: Eukaryota; Viridiplantae; Streptophyta; Magnoliopsida; Poales; Poaceae. The record is from RefSeq and is a predicted model, not a curated record. The transcript is spliced from 2 exons.
CUCGCGCCGGCGACUUGCUCUGCGCCCCGACCCCAUAUCCGGCGUCGCCCUCCACAGCCUCAACGUGCAGGCUGUUCACCUCCGCCAUCGAUGUCCAUUCACCGCCGCCCCUAGGCCAUUCACCUCCGCCACCCCAGUCCGUUCUCCUCCGCCACGUAUGUCCGUUCACCGCCACCCCAAGAAUCCCCGCUGAGCCUCGUCCGCAACCCCGGCCCUCUUUGCGUCCACCCAGGUCCACAUUGUGGGGCCAUCGUGUUCUCUUCACCGCCACUCAGGUCCGACGAGCCGCCGCAGGCAGGAUCCUCUGCGUGCUAGCCUCGGUGCUAGCCCUACACGAUGGCACGGCACCAUUCACUGCUACCACCAUGGGUCGUUCAAUGACACAGCGUCGAGUCGUUCGACACCGCAGCUCAGGAGUUUGCCUCCUUUCCCAACCUCCACUAUGCUCUAGCUAAGCACAAAAGGGGGACGGGUACUUGUUGUAAUGCUUGACAUCAAUCUACAAUCGGCAGUUAGAGAAAGAAUAGUAGCAAGUCCAAGCUCUCUUUGAGUGGAGGUACAUAACCAAUUCAAAUGCUUGUUUUGAUUAUGUUUAAGGAAACUCAUAAUCUUUAUCUUUGUCCACUGUUAGCUAUGUAAAACAACUCAAUAAAAGUUCACUUUUCAAUGCUUUAAAUAGUUCAAUUGGUAAAAAUAGUAGGUGUUCAUUCUACAAAAAAGCACUGACUUUUAUAUGUGUAAAGAAAGAAAUGGAAAUAUGUAAGUUCAUACAGGGACAUAUAUAUGCUGAACUUGCGUCCAGCACACGAGCAUUUGCGUCCACCACUAAGGGGCAUUUGCAUCCCGCACAUCAGCUACAUGCUCAACAGUUGCACACUGUCGCCAUGGACAUGCACAAAUGAUAUGAAGUAGAAGUUUGUUAGUUCAGUUUUUUUAUUGAUUUAACUUGUUUUAAGUAGUAGUGCAGCAAUAAAAGGUGUAGUUGUACUGAGUUUUAGUUGCUAUAUGGGGAACCCAGUGGCCAUUUAUUUUGGUUUACAGUUCAGCUUGUCUAUUCUUUUCAGUCCGUAUGCUUUAUUGUGCAUAAUCUUGAGGAAAUCCCCAAAAAUCAUGUGUGCACUCAAGGUAAUUAAGUGGCUUUGUAAAAUCUUAUAGUCCAUCCCAGACUAAGCAAAACAGUACAUAUUAGUCUUGGUUUGUGGUUGGACAUGCAAUCUGGUUUCAUAGAUUCUUCUGCUCAAACUGGAAAUACCUAGUUUUAGGUAAUCCUACUAGUUCAGUGCUAGUACUUCUAUUUUAUGUUUAUCUUACAAGUGGAAAAUGUCGAGGCUGGUCCUGUUGCCAAUUUUUCAUAAAUAUUCUAAGUAGCCUGAGACACAUCCUGUCCUCUAUACAGAUUCAGAGUUUGACACGUCAAUGGAAGUUUGUUCUCAAAACUAAAAUUGUUCUGCAUGUACUGAUAGAUUAGUUGUUAAUUAUUGGAGUGUUUUGUUCUUGCAGAAUAAAAAUAUGAUGUAUGCAUUGCUUCUUGUCCCAGCUGAGAGAACACUCAUGUUAAAAAGUAUAAAGCAGUUUUGAAGCAAUUCCCAGUGUCUUUAGAAGCAUUCAUGGUUAAAAAGCAACGACAACCUCCAUUCGAGUUGAGAAAUGGUCAUCGUCCAAGUUAAGCAGUAGGUGCCGUCCAAGUUCAGAGAGGGUUGUAUGCAAGUACAGAAGUUUGUUUCAGUGAGAAAAAAUGCGGGGUUUUGACAAUAUUCUGUAUGAUUCAUUUGUUCAUCCUUAGAACUUGGCAAAAUUCAGUCUAGUUUUCUAUGAUGGAGGCACAUAUGAAGUCUUGUGCAAUGGUUA